AGUCGAACGGUUGUAGCGAUACAUACUGGCGCACGGGGGCGUAACACGUAUGCAACCUACCUUAUAGACCGGGAUAGGCUUUGAUAAACCGACAUUAAUACGCCGAUAGUACUAUUGACUGCCAUCAAUUAAUAUUUAAAGAUUUAUCGGUAUAUCGCUGGGCAUGCGUCCAAUUAUAUUAGAUGGUUAAGUAACGGCUGACCAAGACCACGAUUGCUACGAGAACUGAGAGGUCUAAUCCCCCACACUGGCCCCUGAUGAUACCGGACACACUCCUACGAGCAGCGUAGCAGAAGGGAAUAUUGGGAAAUGGAGGGAACGUCUGACCCACCCGUGCCGCGUG
This 343-nucleotide ribosomal RNA is filed under the name uncultured bacterium. RNAcentral describes it as "bacterial SSU rRNA". It matches the Rfam family "Bacterial small subunit ribosomal RNA", at positions 60 to 403 of the family's 1533-position model. The record is from RNAcentral.